RNAcentral lists this ribosomal RNA (253 nucleotides) under uncultured bacterium. RNAcentral's name for it is "partial 16S ribosomal RNA". It matches the Rfam family "Bacterial small subunit ribosomal RNA", at positions 524 to 776 of the family's 1533-position model. The record is from RNAcentral.
UACGGAGGGAGCUAGCGUUGUCCGGAUUUACUGGGCGUAAAGAGCGCGCAGGCGGUCGGAUAAGUCGAAUGUGAAAGCCCCCGGCUCAACUGGGGAGGGUCAUUCGAUACUGUUCGACUCGAAGGCAGGAGAGGGAAGUGGAAUUCCCGGUGUAGUGGUGAAAUGCGUAGAUAUCGGGAGGAACACCAGUGGCGAAGGCGACUUCCUGGCCUGUUCUUGACGCUGAGGCGCGAAAGCUAGGGGAGCAAACGGG